UUACCGAGUUUACAACUCCCAAACCCCUGUGAACAUACCUUAUGUUGCCUCGGCGGAUCAGCCCGCGCCCCGUAAAAAGGGACGGCCCGCCGCAGGAACCCUAAACUCUGUUUUUAGUGGAACUUCUGAGUAUAAAAAACAAAUAAAUCAAAACUUUCAACAACGGAUCUCUUGGUUCUGGCAUCGAUGAAGAACGCAGCAAAAUGCGAUAAGUAAUGUGAAUUGCAGAAUUCAGUGAAUCAUCGAAUCUUUGAACGCACAUUGCGCCCGCCAGUAUUCUGGCGGGCAUGCCUGUUCGAGCGUCAUUUCAACCCUCAAGCCCAGCUUGGUGUUGGGAGCUGCAGUCCUGCUGCACUCCCCAAAUACAUUGGCGGUCACGUCGAGCUUCCAUAGCGUAGUAAUUUACACAUCGUUACUGGUAAUCGUCGCGGCCACGCCGUUAAACCCCAACUUCUGAAUGUUGACCUCGGAUCAGGUAGGAAUACCCGCUGAACUUAAGCAU
Molecule: ribosomal RNA, 502 nt
Filed under: Fusarium culmorum
Lineage: Eukaryota; Fungi; Ascomycota; Sordariomycetes; Hypocreales; Nectriaceae
Description: eukaryotic LSU rRNA
Rfam family: 5.8S ribosomal RNA (bases 152-305)
Source: RNAcentral